RNAcentral lists this ribosomal RNA (450 nucleotides) under uncultured bacterium. Its description in RNAcentral is "partial 16S ribosomal RNA". It matches the Rfam family "Bacterial small subunit ribosomal RNA", at positions 354 to 796 of the family's 1533-position model. The record is from RNAcentral.
GUGGGGAAUCUUCCGCAAUGGACGAAAGUCUGACGGAGCAACGCCGCGUGAGUGAUGAAGGUCUUCGGAUUGUAAAGCUCUGUUAAUCGGGACGAAAAAGCCUAGUGUGAAUAAUGCUAGGAAGUGACGGUACCGGAAUAGAAAGCCACGGCUAACUACGUGCCAGCAGCCGCGGUAAUACGUAGGUGGCAAGCGUUGUCCGGAAUUAUUGGGCGUAAAGCGCGCGCAGGCGGAUCUGCCAGUCUGUCUUAAAAGUUCGGGGCUUAACCCCGUGAUGGGAUGGAAACUACAGAUCUAGAGUAUCGGAGAGGAAAGUGGAAUUCCUAGUGUAGCGGUGAAAUGCGUAGAUAUUAGGAAGAACACCAGUGGCGAAGGCGACUUUCUGGACGAAAACUGACGCUGAGGCGCGAAAGCCAGGGGAGCGAACGGGAUUAGAAACCCUUGUAGUCC